Molecule: ribosomal RNA, 1277 nt
Filed under: uncultured Victivallis sp.
Lineage: Bacteria; Pseudomonadati; Lentisphaerota; Lentisphaeria; Victivallales; Victivallaceae
Description: bacterial SSU rRNA
Rfam family: Bacterial small subunit ribosomal RNA
Source: RNAcentral
AGAGUUUGAUCUUGGCUCAGAACGAACGCUGGCGGCAUGGAUUAGGCAUGCAAGUUGAACGAACUCCUUCGGGAGUGAGUAGCGGAAGGGUGAGGAACGCGUGAGUAAUCUGCCCCCCAGUUGGGAAUAACAGUUGGAAACGACUGCUAAUACCGAAUGUGGCUUAAGCUUCGCCUGGAGCUUUGGCUAAAGAUUUAUCGCUGGGGGAUGAGCUCGCGUCCCAUUAGGUAGUUGGUGAGGUAACGGCUCACCAAGCCGACGAUGGGUAGCUGGUCUGAGAGGAUGGUCAGCCACACUGGGACUGAGACACUGCCCAGACUCCUACGGGAGGCUGCAGUCGAGAAUCUUGGGCAAUGCGCGAAAGCGUGACCCAGCAAUGCCGCGUGUAUGAUGAAGGCCCUCGGGUCGUAAAGUACUGUCUCCCGUGACGAAAUUUGACGGUAGCGGGGAAGGAAGCCACGGCUAACUACGUGCCAGCAGCCGCGGUAAUACGUAGGUGGCGAGCGUUGUUCGGAUUUAUUGGGCGUAAAGGGUCUGUAGGAGGUUUGUUAAAUACGGGGUGAAAUCCCGAAGCUCAACUUCGGAAUUGCCUUGUAGACUGACGAACUAGAGUACCGGAGAGGUAAGCGGAAUACCAGGUGUAGCGGUGGAAUGCGUAGAUAUCUGGUAGAACACCAAAAGCGAAGGCAGCUUGCUGGACGGAAACUGACUCUGAAAGACGAAAGCAUGGGGAGCAAACAGGAUUAGAUACCCUGGUAGUCCAUGCCGUAAACGUUGUCAACUUGAUGUGGGGGGAUUUAGUCCUCUCCGUAUCGAAGCUAACGCGAUAAGUUGACCGCCUGGGGGACUACGGCCGCAAGGCUAAAACUCAAAGGAAUUGACGGGGGCCCGCACAAGCGGUGGAGCAUGUGGCUUAAUUCGAGGCAACGCGAAGAACCUUACCUGGUCUUGAAAUAUAUCGGAUCGCCUGUGAAAGCAGGUUUCCCUUCGGGGCUGAUAUACAGGUGCUGCAUGGCUGUCGUCAGCUCGUGCCGUGAGGUGUUCGGUUAAGUCCGGCAACGAGCGCAACCCGUAUCGUCAGUUGCCAGCAGGUAAAGCUGGGGACUCUGGCGAGACUGCCUGUGUUAAGCAGGAGGAAGGCGCGGAUGACGUCAAGUCAGUAUGGCCCUUACGACCAGGGCUGCACACGUGCUACAAUGGGGGGUACAAUGGGAUGCGAUGUCGCGAGGCGGAGCAAAUCCACAAAACCUCUCUUAGUUCAGAUUGCAGUCUGCAAC